GUGCUCACUUUGGCAGCACAUGUGCUAAAACUGGUACAAUACAGAGAGGAUUAGCCUGGCCUCUGCACGAAGAUGAUACGCAAAUGCGUGAAGCAUUCCCUAUUUUU
Small nuclear RNA from Rhinolophus ferrumequinum (greater horseshoe bat), 107 nucleotides. The record is from Ensembl. NCBI's taxonomy places the organism in Eukaryota, Metazoa, Chordata, Mammalia, Chiroptera, Rhinolophidae.